AGAGGGCACACGGCCACACUGGCACUGAAACACGGGCCAGACUCCUACGGGAGGCAGCAGUGGGGAAUCUUGCACAAUGGGGGAAACCCUGAUGCAGAGACGCCGCGUGAGCGAUGAAGCCCCUCGGGGUGUAAAGCUCUUUCGGCAGGGAAGAUAGUGACGGUACCUGCAGAAGCAGCUGCGGCUAACUACGUGCCAGCAGCCGCGGUAAUACGUAGGCAGCGAGCGUUGUUCGGAGUUACUGGGCGUAAAGGGUGUGUAGGCGGUUGUUUAAGUUUGGUGUGAAAUCUCCCGGCUCAACUGGGAGGGUGCGCCGAAUACUGAGCGACUAGAGUGCGGGAGAGGAAAGUGGAAUUCCUGGUGUAGCGGUGAAAUGCGUAGAUAUCAGGAGGAACACCGGUGGUGUAGACGGCUUUCUGGACCGUAACUGACGCUGAGACACGAAAGCGUGGGUAGCAAACAGGAUUAGAUACCCUGGUAGUCCACGCCCUAAACGAUGCAUAUUUGGUGUGGGCAGUUCAUUCUGUCCGUGCCGGAGCUAACGCGUUAAAUAUGCCGCCUGGGGAGUACAGUCGCAAGGCUGAAACUCAAAGGAAUUGACG
RNAcentral lists this ribosomal RNA (602 nucleotides) under uncultured Acidobacteriota bacterium. RNAcentral's name for it is "SSU rRNA". It matches the Rfam family "Bacterial small subunit ribosomal RNA", at positions 295 to 915 of the family's 1533-position model. The record is from RNAcentral. Lineage: Bacteria; Pseudomonadati; Acidobacteriota.